RNAcentral lists this ribosomal RNA (253 nucleotides) under uncultured prokaryote. RNAcentral's name for it is "partial 16S ribosomal RNA". It matches the Rfam family "Bacterial small subunit ribosomal RNA", at positions 524 to 776 of the family's 1533-position model. The record is from RNAcentral.
UACGAAGGGGGCUAGCGUUGCUCGGAAUUACUGGGCGUAAAGGGCGUGUAGGCGGUUCGUCAAGUCGGGUGUGAAAGCCUGGGGCUCAGCCCCAGAAGUGCGCCCGAUACUAGCGAGCUAGAGCGCGAUAGAGGAGGGUGGAAUUCCUGGUGUAGCGGUGAAAUGCGUAGAUAUCAGGAGGAACACCGGCGGCGAAGGCGGCCCUCUGGAUCGUUGCUGACGCUGAGACGCGAAAGCGUGGGGAGCAAACAGG